GGAUUUAUUAUAACUAGGAGCCAGCAUACUUCCAUUUCAGGCGAGCCCAAUGUCCUCUUAUCAUGACACCACUUAUUUUGGAGAGCAUGUAAAAUUGAAAUUUACAACAAUUUCGAUGGCAAUGGACUACUGGCCAUUCUCAUGCAAACAGCAGAGCAGAAUAUAAGAUGGAACCUAAAUCACCUACAGAUGGUCAUGGUUAAAACGACAAGAAUUAUAAUAUGAAUCCAUAUGAAGCAAAGGCAGCCAAAGCCCAAAGCAACGUAUUGCGAUAUACAAAAAUUCCUGGUAUUCAGUAACAUCUUUCUUCUACAUUAGUUCAUAAAUCAUUGGCAAAUCAUAUGGUAUAAGCUCAAUUUUAGUUCCAAAAAUGAAAUGCAUCUUCGGCUGCGAUCCCAAAAUAAAAACACCAACCACAACAGCUGGAAAACACAAGCUCACAGUCUUCUACCUCUUCUACCACCCUUUCUGCGAGUGCUAUCAGUGGGAAUUGGAGUCACGUCUUCUAUGCGACCAAUUUUCAUUCCA
RNAcentral lists this unclassified non-coding RNA (528 nucleotides) under Hevea brasiliensis (rubber tree). Lineage: Eukaryota; Viridiplantae; Streptophyta; Magnoliopsida; Malpighiales; Euphorbiaceae. The record is from RNAcentral.